UGCCCCCCCCCCCCCCCCCAGCAUGUCCUUGUACUUUCUGGGAUCAUUUGGUCUGAAUUGUGCUGAUGGAACUCAAUUGCUAUCAGAUGGCCCUUUGCAGAGUUGCUUUGGGAAUGAGGAAGAUGUAGACUGAACCUGCUCGGGUGGCUGUUGCACACUGACCUGUUCUCUUGCUACUAGCCAGUCAGGGAUGGUUGGUGCAUCCACUUGGUGGCUGGUGAGCCCUUCUCGAGACUCAUUCUUGCCUGUGGGAAAGCUUCAUGUGUGAAAAGUGUCAGGCCUGGCUUUCUGUGGGACCGUUACACCCCUGAGCUGAAAGGUGACUGUUUCUUUUUCUGCACUGGUACUGAUAUGAGGGGGCAGGUAGCAAUAGAUCAGGGCUGUGUUGGACCCCAGUCUAAUGCUGGCCCUAGGUAAGGGUCUCCAAGUUUCCCUUGGUUUUUUUGUUAGAGAAAAUAUGAUGGUGAAUGAGUGAGUCCCACAAAGAACAGAAGAUCUCUGCAGUUGUGGCAGCUAGUUCUAGUUUGUGGGAAAUACACAGCAUUUGUGUGAGCUUUCGAGUACUGGUUUUGUUCCUAUGAUUUUUUUUUGGCUGAUCUAACAUUUUGACAUUGAAUUCGACCAUUUCACCUCCCAGGAAGCAAACGUCACCCACCCCAGGACCUUCUCUGGUGCUGUUUGUGUUCCCCAUUGCACUGAUAUCGCCCAGCUAUGAAAAAACCAGAAUCACUGUUUUAACAAGGCAAUGGCUGUUAGAGAAGAGCGGUCUCCCAAGGGAUCAUAGUUGGGAAGUCGCUCUAGUGGUAGAACGCAACAAGUUGCAGUGAUACCUACGUAACAGAUAUGUGUAGGCUUUGGACUUACUGGCAUUAAAAACAUUUUGAAAGUCAGGAAUAAAUCUGUGUGUGACUGUCUGUAGGUAUUUAUGCUUUUCUUGCAAAGAACAGAAAGAAAAGAAAGUGAUGCCUGCUUUUUUUGGUGAUUAAUAGUGUUUGUGUGCAUGAUGAUUGUUUUCUGAGGCUUUUGUGUAUGGUCUUUUAUUGUUAAUGGGCUGCUCCUGUGUAAAAUUCCUUUGGAGGAUACUCCAGAGGAGCCAGCUGCAAUUAAAACCCAGAUGACUGUGUCCCAGUCCUUCUUUGACAUCUCCUUCUUUGACUUGUGUUAUCUUUAAAUUACAUCCUUAGAGCUGUCACUCUGUCAGAGAUAGGAUCACCCUUGCCUAGAUAUUUGCUCAUGAGAGGUUUAGUAUAGCCCUAACCUAGUUAGGAAUCUGAGGGGUUUUGUCUCACUUCCUUGGGGUGUAUUAAAAUGGAUUAUCCUGAUAUAUUAUCUUGGCAAUAAAAAAAGCCUGUAAAUGCAAAGUUUUGUAUCUCUGAAGUCUUUGGGUUUAACAAAAUAGAUGAACGUAUCAUUGUCUUUCUGCUUCCGCAGUCCAUCAGCAUCUUUAUCCCCAAAUCUUUGCUCAGUCUUCAGUUGGACAAAGUAGACAAGGAAUUUGAAGUGAGUGAGAACACAUCAGGACUCCUGAGUUUAGCUGAGACUGCAUAUAAAAAUAAUAUUGUCUUAGAAAAUGAAAACCCUGUGUCCUGCAUCUGCUGAGCAAGGGGUUUCAUGCCCAUGUUGUUUUCCUGUGUGCUGGCAGAUUCACAGAAUGGGAUGCAUUCUGACUGCUGCUAAAUAAGCAGCUGGAGGGCUGUUGUCUCUGUGCAGGGCCACGGGCCUGUUCCCUUUCUGUUUUCAGGCACCCUGCCCAUUCCCCCUCCUUUGUAAAGGCCUUAUGGGAGGGUGAGCACACAUACAUCAUAGCGUUGGUGCUAGCUGAGGCUGAGCUCAACAAAUUGCUUCUAUCCCAUUCGCCCAGAGGUGGUCACUUAAUAAUGAAUACCUGCUAUUUAUACCUUUUGGUAGAGUGCUCUGAAUCACUAUCAGGCUGACUGGGACUUUGUGUGGCCAGCGGUCAUUCACCCAUCAGCUCUGGCAUUCAGCCAUUUUAGUGUGAUAAAAUGUAAGCUAUGCACAAAACUGACAAUCCAGACCAGCUCAGGUCAGAUUUGUUUGCUGCCGUAACCUCCCCAACAUCAGUAGAGUACCAGCAUUGUUUACUCUGCAUUCAAGAGCACGAGACAACCAUGGAAUGAAGGCUGAAUACUGGAACAUUUAGCAUUCCCGUGCCUUCUGCAAAGAAACUCACUAGCCAAGAGCUAUUUGGUAGCUUGGGUUCUGAGCAGGCUCUGUUCUGCAUCUCCCUUUAUCUGCUGGAGCUGAACAGUUCAAAAAGGAGGAGGAGUAAAAAAUUACCCUGUUUAGUCUAAGCAAAACAAUAAAUCUGCUCUUUUGAAAUAUGAUUCUGCUUUAUCUAGUUUUACUUUGAGUGGAAGGGGAGGCACAGUGUUUUCCUAUUGCCUUCCUGUUUCUGGCAGUGCAGGACCUGCUUGAAAGCCACUGAAAGUUCCUCUAACCAAUAAUUGUUUUGAAUUUGGCUAAUAAGAAACUCUGCUCUCAGCAAUAUGGAAAGUAAUUAAAAAUAAAUAAAGGUCACAUGUUUAAAGAGCCCUUUCCACAUCAUUUAGUGUUUCUAGUUGAUAGAGUGUGUUGUGUUUCUUACUCCUACGUGCAGAAGAUGCUUGCAUCACCUGUGGGAUGCUAAGUGCCUUGGCUCCUUCCAGGGCUUUUUAUUCAGGUCUCUUUCCAAGCCUGGCAGGACAGGUGAACCCCCUGUGGAAGCAGAAUAGCAAGUGUUGUCUUUGUUGUGUGAGUAAUGCUUAACCCUCUGCCUUCAGCCCUGAAAGCCUUUGCUGUUCUUCACUUUCUUGGGGUGAUGGUUUCCUUCUUGUUAGCAGGUGCUUAAGGGAGCAGCUGGAGUCACCUCUCUGUGGCUGUUGUUUCCACUUCUGUUUUCUUUUUUAAACUUCAAACACAGGAUAAGUGUGUGAUAAGGGAGAUCAGGCAUCUGCAUUUGGGUGUUUGGUAGGAGGAGAGUGUCCUCAAGGUCCCUUUAUAAACAUAGGCGCUACAGCCUCUGGAAGACCAUUCAGGGCAUUAAAUCUGUCUCUGCUAAAUCAUCCUCUGGAGCAGCGUCUCUUUUUCCACUGCCUAUAUAGGGAACCCACAGAGACCAGCCUGAAUUACCGCAGCUGAAAUUAGAUGCUGCAGAAGGUGGCAUGAAUACCCCUGCAAUUUCACCUACUACUCACCCACUUGAAGGCUUCCCAGUUUUCCCAUUAAUGGAGCCACUCAGCUCGCCGAAGCAAAAAGAGCCGACUUUGCGGAAGCCUGUGUAUUAAGCAUCAGUCUUUAUUGCACCAAAUAGCUUUUUUAAAUCCUCACCCUUGGAAGCUGUUGACACAUGUUUGAGUCACUCUACCACCUUCUCCCAAUAAACGCAUGUGUAAUUGUAUUUGUGUAUACUAGUUACGUGUUGCUGAGGAAGUUCUGGCAUGCUGAUAUAUGCCUGCAUGCCAGCCACAGCCUGGCUUCAUGGCCGUAUAUGGAAGUUCACCUGUGAAGGUAUCCAGCAUUCCCCUUUGGAUCUGUUUGAGGUCUAAAACAAGCAGCUUAGAAGAGGCCAAGUGGAGCUGCUAUGUGCCUGAGACAGGGGCAGUCCUUGGCAAUGAAAAUUGUGGCCUCCGGUUUGAAACCUGGCUCCCUGAAUGCUACAAAGGAUGUUUCUUCCUGCCAUGCCUUCUCUAGAACAAGAUGUUCUCUGUGCAGUGGUGUGUUCUGAGAGGUCAGAUCUGGCAAGUCCCUUCCAGCACUGGAGGUAGAAAAAGAUGGCUUCAGCAUAAAGUAAGCCACAAAAAUUGUCUGGAGCUGGCCAGAGGCAGGUGGGAACAGGCUGAGGAGGUAGAGGUCC
Strigops habroptila (Kakapo) is the source of this 3853-nucleotide long non-coding RNA. RefSeq lists it as uncharacterized. The transcript is spliced from 2 exons. Lineage: Eukaryota; Metazoa; Chordata; Aves; Psittaciformes; Psittacidae. The record is from RefSeq and is a predicted model, not a curated record.